GCCUAGAGAGAAGCUUGCGGCUGAUUAGCUUGUUGGUGAGGUAAUGGCUCACCAAGGCGACGAUCAGUAUCUGGUUUGAGAGGAUGAUCAGACACACUGGAACUGAGACACGGUCCAGACUCCUACGGGAGGCAGCAGUGGGGAAUUUUCCGCAAUGGGCGAAAGCCUGACGGAGCAAUCUCGCGUGAGGGAUGACGGCCUAUGGGUUGUAAACCUCUUUUUUCAGGGAGGAACAAAAUGACGUGUACCUGAAGAAUAAGCAUCGGCUAACUCCGUGCCAGCAGCCGCGGUAAGACGGAGGAUGCAAGUGUUAUCCGGAAUCACUGGGCGUAAAGCGUCUGUAGGUGGUUUGAUAAGUCAACUGUUAAAUCUUGAAGCUCAACUUCAAAAUCGCAGUCGAAACUAUUAGACUAGAGUAUAGUAGGGGUAAAGGGAAUUUCCAGUGGAGCGGUGAAAUGCGUAGAUAUUG
Molecule: ribosomal RNA, 469 nt
Filed under: uncultured diatom
Lineage: Eukaryota; Bacillariophyta
Description: SSU rRNA
Rfam family: Bacterial small subunit ribosomal RNA
Source: RNAcentral